AUUGAACGCUAGCGGGAUGCCUUACACAUGCAAGUCGAACGAGUGGCGGACGGGUGAGUAAUAUCUCGGAACCAGCCUGAUGGCGGGGGAUAACUACUGGAAAGGGUGGCUAAUACCGCAUACCAUCGGAGCGGCCGCGAUGGGAUUAGCUAGUUGGGGGGGUAAAGGCUCACCAAGGCGACGAUCCCUAGCUGGUCUGAGAGGAUGACCCGCCACACUGGAACUGAGACACGGCCCAGACUCCUACGGGAGGCAGCAGUGGGGAAUUUUGCACAAUGGGCGAAACCCUGAUCCAGCCAUGCCGCGUGUAUGAUGAAGGCCUUCGGGUUGUAAAGUACUUUUAGCGGGGAGGCGGUAUCUGCAGAAGAAGCACCGGCUAACUCCGUGCCAGCAGCCGCGGUAAUUC
This 406-nucleotide ribosomal RNA is filed under the name uncultured bacterium. RNAcentral's name for it is "partial 16S ribosomal RNA". It matches the Rfam family "Bacterial small subunit ribosomal RNA", at positions 30 to 526 of the family's 1533-position model. The record is from RNAcentral.